This 466-nucleotide ribosomal RNA is filed under the name uncultured bacterium. RNAcentral's name for it is "partial 16S ribosomal RNA". It matches the Rfam family "Bacterial small subunit ribosomal RNA", at positions 28 to 507 of the family's 1533-position model. The record is from RNAcentral.
GACGAACGCUGGCGGCGUGCUUAACACAUGCAAGUCGAACGGAAAGGCCCUGCUUGCAGGGUACUCGAGUGGCGAACGGGUGAGUAACACGUGGGUGAUCUGCCCUGCACUUCGGGAUAAGCCUGGGAAACUGGGUCUAAUACCUGAUAGGAGCCAUUUUUAGUGUGAUGGUUGGAAAGUUUUUUUCGGUGUAGGAUGAGCUCGCGGCCUAUCAGCUUGUUGGUGGGGUAAUGGCCUACCAAGGCGGCGACGGGUAGCCGGCCUGAGAGGGUGGACGGCCACAUUGGGACUGAGAUAAGGCACAGACUCCUACGGGAGGCAGCAGUGGGGAAGAUUGCACAAUGGGCGCAAGCCUGAUGCAGCGACGCCGCGUGGGGGAUGACGGCCUUCGGGUUGUAAACUCCUUUCGCUAGGGACGAAGCUUUUUGUGACGGUACCUAGAUAAGAAGCAACGGCUAACUACGUG